GACGAACGCUGGCGGCGUGCCUAAUACAUGCAAGUAGAACGCACAGUUUAUACCGUAGCUUGCUACACCAUAGACUGUGAGUUGCGAACGGGUGAGUAACGCGUAGGUAACCUGCCUGGUAGCGGGGGAUAACUAUUGGAAACGAUAGCUAAUACCGCAUAAUAUUGAUUAUUGCAUGAUAAUUGAUUGAAAGAUGCUAUUGCAUCACUACCAGAUGGACCUGCGUUGUAUUAGCUAGUAGGUGAGGUAACGGCUCACCUAGGCGACGAUACAUAGCCGACCCGAGAGGGUGAUCGGCCACACUGGGACUGAGACACGGCCCAGACUCCUACGGGAGGCAGCAGUAGGGAAUCUUCGGCAAUGGACGAAAGUCUGACCGAGCAACGCCGCGUGAGUGAAGAAGGUUUUCGGAUCGUAAAGCUCUGUUGUAAGAGAAGAACGGGUGUGAGAGUGGAAAGUUCACACUGUGACGGUAUCUUACCAGAAAGGGACGGCUAACUACGUG
This 505-nucleotide ribosomal RNA is filed under the name uncultured bacterium. RNAcentral's name for it is "partial 16S ribosomal RNA". It matches the Rfam family "Bacterial small subunit ribosomal RNA", at positions 28 to 507 of the family's 1533-position model. The record is from RNAcentral.